ACUCACUCCAUCCUGCCACCCUGCGAGGAAGGUGCCUGCUUCUUCUUUGCCUUCCGCCGUGAGUGUGAGUCUCCUGAGGCCUCCCCAGCAAUGUGGAACUGAUACGUCAUGGAACAGAGGGCAACCUGCCUCCUGGAAAUGUGGAGUGUCUAGGGAGUCACAGCUGAGAUCUUCCUUGGAUUAAAGGCUGCGGGUGUCACAAACAGACCUGAUUGAAAAUUCUUGAUCUGGCCACAUACCCUGUUUACAUUGAUGCAGAUUCAACUGGGUGAAAUAACUGUGAACUGGGCAUGUGAAGAGAAAGCUGAAAGCCAUGAUCUCAAGAUGGAAACUUCAGUAUCCAGCAAAGGAUGCUGUAACAACACCAUAAACUUUCAAACAACUCUAUUUCCUACGGUUCUGGAGGCUGGAAGUCCACAAUCAAAGUGUCAUGUUGUCAGGUUGUGGUGAGGGCCCUCUUUUGGGUGUAGAUUGCUAACUUUUCUGUAUGUGUUCACAUGGCAGAAAGAGAUUGAGCUAGCUCUUGGAUCCUUUCUUAUAAGGGCACCAAUCCCAAUACAGAGGCUUCACUCUCAUGACAUAAUUGUCUCCCAAAGACUCUACCUCCAAAUAUUAUCAAUCACAUUAGGGGAUAGAUUUUAACACAUGAUUUUGGGGGGAACACAUUCAGUCCAUAACAUUUCUUGAGUCUUCUUCUAGGACCCAUAGGUUAUUUUAAAAGUGGCUUGUUCAGUUCCAAGUGUUUGAAGAUUUUUUUUUUCUGUUAUCUUUAACUUACUGAUUUCUAGAUAGACCCCAUUGUGCUCAGAGAACACUCCUUAUGUGAUUUCAAUUAUUUUAAAUUUGUUGAGAUUUUAUGACUUAGUAUGUCAUCUGUCUUGGUGUGUAUUCUGUGGGGGGGAUGGGGGGUGCUUGAAAAACGGGUAUUCUGCUAUUAUAGAAUGUCAAAAUAUCAACUGUAAUAAACAAGAAAAAUAAUCCUAGUCUUUUAUUUAAGGGCCCUCUUUAGUCCAUCUCAACAGACCCUUCUCCGAAGGGGAAAGAAAUGCAGCUCACAAGAGCCCAUUAAACAACUAAAACAAGACAAAAUAAAACAACUACCCCCUGCCAAUUUGCACACUGUUACUUCUUUUGUUUUCCCAAUCUUAUUUCUUCUUCUUUUUUAUAAUAAAAAAUUUCAAAGCAAU
Molecule: long non-coding RNA, 1187 nt
Filed under: Homo sapiens (human)
Lineage: Eukaryota; Metazoa; Chordata; Mammalia; Primates; Hominidae
Description: uncharacterized LOC105373438, transcript variant 5 (LOC105373438)
Source: RNAcentral